CUUAAUAUCAGUCAUCAUACAUCAAGCUAAACCUCUAUUGGAAUCGUAGAAACCUAAUCCUUAAUCUCACCAAUAGUAAAACCUCUCCUAACAUAAGAAAAAAAUUACGAAGAAAUAGAGUUUCUACAAAUUCAACAAUGUCCACAAAGACCCUGCUUCUAGUUUUUCUAGUCGUUGUUCUCGCUGCAAAAUUGACAUUUUCGCUUCCGAUGAGCAUCAUUGAUUCUAAGACAUCAAAUAACAUCGUUUCCGAAGGACAUGAGGUGCGAAAUUUUGUGGACGAUUCGACAUGCAACUGGCAUUGCCAACGCCUUAGAAAUUGUGCUGCUCUGCAGUUUAUCAUUCAAACUCUAAACUGCAACCCUGCUCCUGCUGGGUGUUCCUGCUGAACAGAAUGCGUCUCUAAAUUAAGCAUGCCUGAAAUCUUCAUUGUGCCAUAAUAGUAAUGUGUAUAUGAUAUAGUAUCAAGAUUCCUAAACUUUUUAGCUUGUUUCCGUGGAGGAAAUGUAUUAGGAUUAUGUAAUACAUGCCAUGUUUAACCUUUUAAAAACGGAUUCCACCAAUAAGGUGGAGGGCGAUUUCGAUCUCUUGGCGACGGACUACACCAAUAAGGUGUAGGCCAAAUUUUUCGCCUUA
Long non-coding RNA from Folsomia candida, 636 nucleotides. RefSeq lists it as uncharacterized. The transcript has 3 exons. The record is from RefSeq and is a predicted model, not a curated record. NCBI's taxonomy places the organism in Eukaryota, Metazoa, Arthropoda, Collembola, Entomobryomorpha, Isotomidae.